GACGAACGCUGGCGGCGUGCUUAACACAUGCAAGUCGAACGGUGAAGCGCCUUCCUUUUUGGUGGGUGUGGAGGAGUGGCGAACGGGUGAGUAACACGUUAGUAACCUGCUCCCUUCUUCUGGAUAACCGCAUGAAAGUGUGGCUAAUACGGGAUAUUCUGGGUCUGUCGCAUGAUGGGUCUGGGAGAGAUUUUGUUUCGGUGGGGGAUGGGCUCGCGGCCGAUUAGCUUGUUGGUGGGGUGAUGGCCUACCAAGGCGGCGAUGCGUAGCCGGCCGGAGAGGAGGGUGGGCCGCACUAGAGGGGCGGCGCCGCGCACACGACUCCGGGGGGAAGCAGUGGUGGAGAAUAGGGCACGAGGGGCGCCAGCCUGCUGCAGCGCCGCCGCGGGGGGGAUGGAGGCCUUCGGGUUGUGAACCUCUUUCGGCAGAGAAGCAGGCCUGCCUAGUUUGUGGGUGGGUUGACGGUAGCUGGAUAAGAAGCGCCGGCUAACUACGUG
RNAcentral lists this ribosomal RNA (497 nucleotides) under uncultured bacterium. Its description in RNAcentral is "partial 16S ribosomal RNA". It matches the Rfam family "Bacterial small subunit ribosomal RNA", at positions 28 to 507 of the family's 1533-position model. The record is from RNAcentral.